AAUUUUGGGGGUGUGGGUAGAAAAACCAUCUGUUAUGACUCUGAGGGAACAUCAAUGCACUCUUUUAGGAAACGAGUUCCCUGCAAAAUCAAUUGUAAGAGGAAGUUGGGCAGUUGCUUUUCAUCCCAAUCAUUGGAAACAUUAACAAUCAUCUUCCUCACACCU
Molecule: small nucleolar RNA, 165 nt
Organism: Hibiscus syriacus
Lineage: Eukaryota; Viridiplantae; Streptophyta; Magnoliopsida; Malvales; Malvaceae
Product: small nucleolar RNA snoR135
Exons: 1
Source: RefSeq, a predicted model, not a curated record